AGGAUGAACGCUAGCGGCAGGCUUAACACAUGCAAGGUCGAGGGGUUAUUGGUUUUACGGACAAGAGACCGGCGCACGGGUGCGUAACGCGUAUGCAAUCUACCUUUGCAGAGGGAUAGCCCAGAGAAAUUUGGAUUAAUACCUCAUAGUAUAGUACUUUGGCAUCAAGGAACUAUUAAAGUCACAACGGCAAAAGAUGAGCAUGCGUCCCAUUAGCUAGUUGGUAAGGUAACGGCUUACCAAGGCUACGAUGGGUAGGGGUCCUGAGAGGGAGAUCCCCCACACUGGUACUGAGACACGGACCAGACUCCUACGAGAGGCAGCAGUGAGGAAUAUUGGACAAUGGGCGCAAGCCUGAUCCAGCCAUGCCGCGUGCAGGAUGACGGUCCUAUGGAUUGUAAACUGCUUUUAUACAGGAAGAAACACUCCGACGUGUCGGAGCUUGACGGUACUGUAAGAAUAAGGAUCGGCUAACUCCGUG
This 481-nucleotide ribosomal RNA is filed under the name uncultured bacterium. Its description in RNAcentral is "bacterial SSU rRNA". It matches the Rfam family "Bacterial small subunit ribosomal RNA", at positions 26 to 507 of the family's 1533-position model. The record is from RNAcentral.